RNAcentral lists this microRNA precursor (69 nucleotides) under Stegodyphus mimosarum. RNAcentral's name for it is "mir-71 microRNA precursor family". It matches the Rfam family "mir-71 microRNA precursor family". The record is from Rfam by way of RNAcentral. Lineage: Eukaryota; Metazoa; Arthropoda; Arachnida; Araneae; Eresidae.
UUUCUGUGAAAGACAUGGGUAGUGAGAUGUUUACCAGUCCCAUCUCACUACCUUGUCUUUGACGGUAAG